GACGAACGCUGGCGGCGUGCUUAACACAUGCAAGUCGAACGAUGAACCCGGAGCUUGCUCCGGUGGAUUAGUGGCGAACGGGUGAGUAACACGUGAGUAACCUGCCCUUGACUCUGGGAUAACUGCGGGAAACUGUAGCUAAUACCGGAUACGACCCUCGGCGGCAUCGCCAGGGGGUGGAAAGAAUUUCGGUCAAGGAUGGACUCGCGGCCUAUCAGCUAGUUGGUGAGGUAAUGGCUCACCAAGGCGACGACGGGUAGCCGGCCUGAGAGGGUGACCGGCCACACUGGAACUGAGACACGGUCCAGACUCCUACGGGAGGCAGCAGUGGGGAAUAUUGCACAAUGGGCGAAAGCCUGAUGCAGCAACGCCGCGUGAGGGAUGAAGGCCUUCGGUUGUAAACCUCUUUAGUCAGGAGAAGCGAAGUGACGGUACCUGCAGAAAAAGACACCGGCUAACUAACGUG
This 466-nucleotide ribosomal RNA is filed under the name uncultured bacterium. RNAcentral's name for it is "bacterial SSU rRNA". It matches the Rfam family "Bacterial small subunit ribosomal RNA", at positions 28 to 507 of the family's 1533-position model. The record is from RNAcentral.